AACAGUUAAAGUAAUAAAAGUACAGACGAUAAUAGAUAAGUACUGAUAAGAACAUAAGAAGGAAUUAAAAGGUUAAUUAAAAGCCUGAUUAAAAAGGUGAGUCUUUAACCUUCCUUUAAAAACAUCAACAGUCUCUGCAGUCCUGAGGUUCUCCAGCAGGCUGUUCCAGAGGCGGGGGCCAUAGUGGCUAAAUGACGCCUCGCCGUGGGUUUUGGUUCUGGCUUGUGGUGUAAUUAAAAGGCCGCUGCCAGAGGACCUCAGGGCGAGGGUCGGUAUGUUAAAAGAAGAUCAGACAAAUAAGAAGGCGCAAGGCCGUUAAGACAUUUAAAAACUAAUAAAAGAACCUUAAAAUUGAUCCUGAAGUGGACGGUGUUACGACCCCCAAAAGGAGUCCAACAUAUUUAAAGAAGGGACACAGGAGAACAAGUAAGGAUCAAACAACAGUUUAUUGUAAAGUUUUAAACUGCUUCUUUUCGCUUCUUCGUUCUGUGAAAGAUGGUUUUCACUGGCAAAUAUUAAAUAGUUUGUUGUCCAGAACAGAAGAACAAGGAUCCCUUUACCACCCGUGCCCCAAAAUCAGGAAAAAAAAAACAAAGUACAAACAAAAGAUGGCCCAGGAGCACCAGCCAAACAAAACAAAAGGACGUGGUCCCCGGACAACUGCUAUACAGUCGUAGGAAUGGUUUCCACGUCCAACUAAAGAAAAAACCCCAACUAAACCCAGCAAAGAAAACACGAAAACAUGACUACUGGUCACCCCUGGGCAAAAUGAACAAAGUGCAAAGAAAAGAACAGAAGGCUAAGCGGCUACCAUGGCGUGUCCAGAGCCAAGCAGCCAAACCUUCAGGGCGAGGAGCACACCAGGUGUGUGACGAGCUCCACAGCUGCAGUGAGGAGGAGAGAAUCAGAGAGAGGCGGCCACGAGGCGAGGCGACCUCAUGGCCUGGGAACAGCCCCUUUUAAAGGGCAGCCACGCUAAUUAAUUAAGUAAAAAAAACUACUUAAUUACUUAACACAAACAUAUCAAAAAAAGAAAUAUCCCAAAAAGAAGAGAAUAUUUAAAGAAAAACUAGACAAAAAAUAAAGGGUAACAAAAUUAUGUGCUCCCAGCACAGACCACCCCCACCCAAAGACACUGAAUAGGAUUGCAGAAGGCCUAAAAAGAAACCCAACACACCCCGCAACCUAUUCAGUGAAGGCAAACUGCAGCUUAAAGGCGCGAAUGCGCAUCAGCAACAACUUAUUCUUGCCCUGGAUAUGCUUAAUGUCUACAUUAAAAAAUUGCAACCUCAAAGACCAGUUCAUAAGGCAACGAUUCUUGUUCUUCAUGCGGUCCAAAAAAACCAGUGGGUUAUGGUCCGUAUAAACCAACGUGGGCACACUGGAAGCAUCUACAUAAACCUCAAAGUGCUCCAGGGCCAGGACCAAGGCUAGUGCUUCCUUCUCAAUGGUUGAGUACCACUUCUGAUAUCUAUUCAACUUCUUUGAAAAGUAAGAAACCAGAUGUUCCACACCAUCAGCUCCAUCUUGCAUCAGGACAGCUCCCACACCAACAUAACACGCAUCAACAGCCAGCUUCAACGGCACAUCAAACCGAGGCGCAGCCAGAACAGGAGCAUUAACCAAUAGCGCUUUAGUUUGCUCAAAGGCAGACUGACACAAACCGGACCAAGAAAAAUCCACUUUGGGACUAAGCAAGUCUGUCAAAGGAGAAAAAAACUGCAGAGAAGUUUUUGCAAAACCCUCUAUAGUAGCCCACCAUUGCAAGAUAGCGACGCAGCUCAGUACGGUUAACAGGAACUGGGACCAAUAAAAUCGCCUCCACCUUAGCCUGAACGGGGCGCACCUGACCUCCUCCUACCCUUUUCCCCAGAUAGGUUACAGUCGCUUUACCAAAUUCACAUUUGGAAAGGUUCACAGUCAGAUUGUCCUCACUCAGACGUCCAAAAACCGCACUCAAAUGCUCAACAUGCUCAGUCCAAGUAGCAGAGCAAACAACCAAAUCGUCCAGGUAAGCCUCACAAAAUGCUAAGCCAGACAAAACCACAUUCAUCAGCCGCUGAAAAGUUGCUGAGGCAUUACACAUCCCAAAAGCCAUCACAGUAUAUUGCAGGAAAUCAUCCGGCGUGACAAAAGCAGAGACCUCCUGAGCACGCUCCGUCAAAGGUACUUACCGGUAACCUUUCAACAGAUCUAAUUUGGACACAAAUCAAGCAGCACCAACAUGAUCCGUACAAUCCUCCAUACGAGGCAGUGGAUAACAGUCAGGCCUCAUCACCCCAUUAACUUUUCUGAAAUCGGUACAAAACCGGUCUUCUCCAUUGGUUUUAAUAGCCAAGAGACACGGAGAACUCCAUGCACUACAGCUCUUUACAGCAAUGCCGUGUUCCACCAUGUACUCCACUUGUUUUUUCAAACGCCGCCGCUUGUCUGGAUUCACCCUGUAAGGAUGUUAUUUAAUAGGUUUAGAAUCACCUACAUCAAUAUCAUGACUGAGCACAUGCGUCUCAGUGGGAACAUCAGCAAACAGUGACCUAUGAGACUGGAUCAAAUUGAUGACAUCAGACUGCUGGGACAAAUCAAGGUGGGACAACAAAAGAGGCAAGUUCUCCAAUGGCACUGAAUUAGAAAACUUUCCCUGCGUCAGAGCCGCCGAAAAAACAUUGCUCUCCACCUCAGCACCGGACAGCUCCUCCUGCAUGUCCGUAAACAAACUGACCCGAGGCUCAGGUGUGUCAGUCUCAACAGGGUCAGACACAGAAGGAUCACAUGAUCCUGAAGGAACACGCUCAACAUACGCUUUUAACAUGCUGAUAUGACACAACCGAGACCUCCACCGUCUGUCAGGCGUGGCAACCAGAUAGUCCCUAUCACCAACUUUCUUCUGAAUAAGGUAAGGUCCACUGUAGCGCGCUUGUAAGCUCGAGCCCGGAACAGGCAGCAAAACCAACACUUUAUCGCCAAGCUUAAACGCUCGAACCUUUGCCUGUUUGUCAAACACAGCUUUCAUCCUAGCUUGUGCAGCUUCAAGAUUUUCCCUUGCUAUCUCCACAGCAUGAUGCAACUUCAGCCUAAAGUUACUGACAUAAUCCAGUAAAUUCUGGUCACACUCAGCACAAAGCCACUUAUCCUUUAACAAUUUCAAAGGCACCCGAACCGUGUGUGAAAAAACCAGUUCUGAUGGGCUUAAACCCCAGCGAUUCCUGCACCACCUCCCGUACUGCAAACAUCUGAAGAUGCACCCCCUCAUCCCAGUCCUUCUCUAACUCCAAACAGUAUUUGCGCAGCGUAGAUUUCAUUGUUUGGUGGAAUCGUUGCAGCGCUCCCUGACUCUCCGGAUGGAAAGCACUAGAAUGGCAGUGCUUAAUACCAAGCUGCUUCAAAACCGGUGCAAAAAUUCUAGACAUAAAGUUAGAUCCCUGAUCAGUUUGCACAACACAAGGCAACCCAAACAGUGAAAAAAAUUUAGUCAAGGCUUUCACUACAACUGGAGUCAUUAUUUUACGCACGGGAAAAACUUCAGGAAAACGCGUAGCAGCACACAUCACAGUAACCAAGAAUUUAUUUCCUGAUUUAGUCCAAGGGAGAGGACCAACACAGUCAACCAACACACGUUCAAACGGAUCAUUCACAGCUGGAAUAGGGUACAGUGGAGCUGGCGGGAUUGUUUGAUUUGGUUUGCCAGCCACUUGGCACCAAUGACACGAAUUGCAAUGACGCACCACAUCACGUUUUAAUCCUGGCCAAAAAACACGCCGCAGGAUACGAUCGUAUGUUUUCCGUAUGCCAAGAUGACCUGCCAGCGAAUUAUCAUGACCAAGCUUCAAAAUCUCAGCUCGAUAUGAAGCGGGCACUACAACUUGUGUUACCACACUCCACUCUUCUACAGGAGAAACAUUCAAAGGCGUCCAUUUACGCAUCAACAAUCCAUCCCUGAAAAAAUAACCGGUGGACAUUUCUUCAGACCCCCCCAUUCGCGAUCUCAAUAAACAGCUUAGCCAAGGUUUUAUCUGCUUUUUGAUCAGCAAUUAAUCGUUUUUUCUGGAAAUGGACAACGUGCUCAAAUCAGGUGUAUGCGUUUGACAUUUCUCAGUGCUCUCAUGCAACUCAGACUCUUCACCUGACUCACUCCCACUCAGGAAACUAUCACUCAAAUCAGUGUCAUUCUGACUGUCAGACUGCUCACGUUUAGCUGCCGCCCGUGUGACUGCACACGAAGUGAACACCUCUGGAUAUCUACUUGCCAAUUCAUCAGGACCAGUACACAAAACUGGGACAGACGUAACCUCAGGAGUAGCUAAAAUUCGACCUCCGGCCAAAUCAUUUCCCAUUAUGACAGACACACCAUUUAUGGGAAAACAAGGGCGCGCCUCCACAAUAGCGUCCCCAGACCACAGAUCUGACUGAAUAAAUAUUCGAUGUAAAGGAACUCCUAUCUGCUCCAUGUUAAAUCCACGGACCGGAACCUCAUAUACGUGUAUAUAUAUAUAUAUAUAUAUAUAUAUAUAUAUAUAUGUUCUGGGAGUGACUGUCAUAGCUGUGGUUUGUGGUCUGGGAUGAGUAAAAGCAGCUGCUGUGAGAAAUAAAUCAUCUCCCUGAGGCCAGCUUAUGGCUGAUGUGUCCUCCUCCAUCUCCAGCAUUAAUUAACCAUCAGUAGAAUAAAUCUGUUCCACCUGGGGUUCAUCUCCAGCUCCUGCUCCACAGAUUCUUUGUUGUUUUUCCUGCGGCUGCAGCGUCCCGGGACACCAAAGAAAUGUUUUAUAGAAUCCAUAAAUGUUCUCCUUCAGCAGGUUUUGGAAAGCCGACGGGAUGAAGUGAGAUGUUGACAGCAGGAAGAAUAUUCCUCGUCAGGACUCCCAGUUUUUGUUAUUAUUUGGAACAAAAAUCUGUGUAUAACAAGAUAAAACUGAAAAUGUACAGUUUUUGACCAUAAAUUAAAAAAUUGUUUCCAUUUUUGUCUUAAGGACAUUAAAACCUGGAUGACUUUUAACUUCCUACUGCUAAAUUCAGACAAAACUGAAGUCAUUGUAUUUGGCCCCAAACAUCUUAGAAACUCGCUUUCAAAGCAAAUAGUUACUCUGGAUGGCAUCACAUUGGCCUCCAGUACUACUGUGAGGAAUCUUGGAGUUAUUUUUGACCAGGACAUGUCCUUUAACUCACACAUAAAGCAAGUCUGUAGGACUUCCUUUUUUCACCUGCGUAAUAUUGUAAAAAUCAGGAACAUUCUGUCUCAGAGUGAUGCAAAAAAAUUAGUUCAUGCUUUUGUUACUUCCAGGCUUGACUAUUGCAAUUCCUUAUUAUCGGGUUGUCCAAAUAGCUCUCUCAAACAUCUACAGUUGAUCCAAAACGCUGCUGCGAGAGUACUGACAGGAGUUAGCAAAAGAGAUCAUAUUUCCCCUAUACUUGCUUCUCUUCACUGGCUUCCUGUUAAAUCCAGAAUAGAAUUUAAAAUCCUUCUUCUGACAUAUAAAGCUCUUAAUAACCAAUCUCCAUCAUAUCUUAAAGAUCUGAUAGUACCUUAUUAUCCUAGUAGAACUCUUCGCUCUCAAACUGCAGGCUUACUUGUUGUUCCUAGAAUUUCUAAAAGUAGAAUGGGAGGCAGAGCCUUCAGUUAUCAGGCGCCUCUCCUGUGGAACCUGCUCCCAGUUUGGGUUCUGGAGGCAGACACCCUCUCUAUUUUUAAGACCAGGCUUAAAGCGUUCCUUUUUGACAAAUCUUAUAGUUGGGGCUGACUGGGUGACCCACAGAGGUUCGGCUUGUGUCUUCAUUGUACAGCUGACUCCUUCUUGGACGUCCCUUCGUUCUGCCUCUAGUCAUGCUGCUAUAGGCCUAGGCUGCUGGGGGACUUUUCUUGACGCACUGAGCCCUUCUCUAUCUACCUUUACAUUUAAUAUGUAUACCGUUAUUGCAGUACAUUCACUCUGUUUCCCCCUGUGCUAUUUCUCCGAGUGUCCCUGGUCCCAGAGCUGGAUGCUUCAGAUCUGCGGUCGAUGUUCCACCAGCUGGUCCAGUCUCCACCAUGUCCACUGUGGGAUGCUGCUACUGACCUUCCACCAGCCCUCUGCUUCCAAUUCCCUUUUUCCACGAGUCAACUCUGCAUCGCCUUCAAUAUACUGUUAUGCUAACUUACAUACUGUUUGAAUUUUACUGCUAGCUAUAUAUGGAGUAUGUUUAAUGUCAGAGCCGUACAUCAUCAGAGUAAACUAUGAGUCAGUUUUCAAUGUUAGCUUAUACUUUGUCUGUGUCACAUAUCCUGUCAUGCAUGUAUUCAAAUGUGUGUUGUGUUUUCCUUGCUUUCUCACCCCUCCCUCUUCUCCCAUCCCUCCCCCUUGCCCUCUUCUGUCCUUCUCAACCCGCCCGGCCAGCAGGCAGAUGGGUCCCCCCUAUUUAGAGCCGGGUUCUGCUCGAGGUUUCUUCCCUGUUAAAAGGGUGUUUUUCCUUGCCACUGUCGCCUUUGGGCUUGCUCUGGGGGUCAGGCAUAUGGGUUCUGUAAAGCGUCUUGAGACGAUUUGACUGUAAUUGACGCUAUAUAAAUAAAAUUGAAUUGAAUUGAAUUGAAUUGAAUUUUUCUCCAUGGAAGUGAAAUUGGACAGAAUAAAACGCUGGGAACAGAAACACCGACCAACAUGGGUCAGGCUGUAAAAACAGGUCAACAUAUUCUGUUAUCUUCCAGUAACAUGAUUCAUACAUGCAUGGAAGUCGUUGGUAUUCAUGACUUUAUGAAGAACUGAUGGAUGUCGUGAUGCACAGAACGGAUUUGUUUACAUUUUAGCUUUGAGUUCCGACUUAUAAAGACAACGACUGCAGAUUGACCUCCUGUACUGUCAUCAUUUGGAAGUAAUAUGAGUUAUAUUCAGAAAACUUUUAAAUGAUUUUAUAAUCCUCUUUUUUUGUGUGUUUUUUACAUGUGUUCCUUGUUUGAAUAAAUUACAGAUAACAUCUAGUAAAUAAUCUGCCGGAUGUCAGAACCGAGACCCGCUAACGGAGAGACAUGAGCAGCAGCUGACAGACGACAGGUUCACGUAUUUAUGGAACAGAACAGGUGCAGAGAUCCUGGGAGACCUGGAGGAACCUGGACCAGAUCCAGAACCCAGCAGGGUCAGGAGGACAGGAGAGACUGGUUCUACCAGCAGGAACAGAAGAGAGAGAGACAGAACCAGUCACUGACAGAACCAAUCACUGACAGAACCAAUCAGUGACAGAACCACAGACAGAACCACAGACAGAAUCAAUCACUGACAGAACCACAGACAGAACCAGUCACUGACAGAACCAAUCACUGACAGAACCACAGACAGAACCACAGACAGAACCACAGACAGAACCAGUCACUGACAGAACCAAUCACUGACAGAACCAAUCACUGACAGAAUCACUGACAGAACCACAGACAGAAUCACAGACAGAACCACAGACAGAACCAAUCACUGACAGAACCACAGACAGAACCAGUCACUGACAGAACCAAUCACUGACAGAACCAAUCACUGACAGAACCACAGACAGAAUCACUGACAGAACCACAGACAGAACCACAGACAGAACCAAUCACUGACAGAACCAGUCACUGACAGAACCAAUCACUGACAGAACCAAUCACAGACAGAACCAAUCACAGACAGAACCACAGACAGAACCACAGACAGAAUCACAGACAGAACCAAUCACAGACAGAACCAAUCACUGACAGAACCAAUCACUGACAGAACCAAUCACUGACAGAACCAGUCACUGACAGAACCACUGACAGAAUCACUGACAGAACCACAGACAGAACCACAGACAGAACCACAGACAGAAUCAGUCACUGACAGAACCAAUCACUGACAGAACCACAGACAGAACCACAGACAGAACCACAGACAGAAUCAAUCACUGACAGCAAACAUAGGAACAAACCUCCAGAGGCUGGAGACUGACUCCCUGAGAAUCCAUCAGUGGGACCGACCAGAACUCUGGAGAGAAGAACAGAGCCAUCUCUGAGACAGAUUUCCCACGAAGCAGCUUAGACGGUUUCUGUCCAUACGUGGUCCAGGGAAUAUCUCAUCAGGUCCAUGGUCCAGAGAACAUCUCAUCGGGUCCAGAGAACAUCUCAUCAGGUCCAGAGAACAUCUCAUCAGGUCCAUGGUCCAGACUCUGUGGGGGGAAUCUUCAUCAAAGACCAAACUGCAUUGUUACAGUUUUGUAGAGUUAAUCUGUAAAUAAUGUUUUUAUGAAAACAGAGAAACUGUAAAAUAACAAAAGUAACUCUUCAGAAAAACAAAAACCAACUUCACUAUAAAAUGUUUAAACUGUGAUGAACAAAGACAGAAUAAAUGAUGUUCCAGUGGUGAAGAGGCAGAUCUGAACUCUACAAACUCUGAGGCAGGACCAGAGAGCCAUCAGAGAGAAUUAUUGAUCAGCUGCUGAUUGAUUAGCUCAUAACAAAGACCAGGACGCUCCACAUCUGAAGCUCCACCAGGCUUUUGUUCCGUCAGAGCUCUGAGUGAAGCAGACAGUCGCCUUUCAGACUCAUUAGCAGCCCUGAUGUGAUGAACUCAUCAAAGGCUGGAGAUGUGAGGAAGCGUUUCCCGCUCUUCCUACCGACAACACUCCCUGUUACCCAGAAUUAUUCAAGAGUGAGAGUUUCAGAGGGAAAGUGUGUCAGGAGCUGCCUCAGAGGACCGAGCAGCAGCUGUGGAGGUCUGGAUGGAGCUCAGCUGAUGUCCACGUCAGAGACACAAACAGCAACAUCAGACACACAACAGGAGAAAACACUCAGGAGAUCAGCACGUCCUGCACAACCACACAAACACCCGCAACAGGAACACCGAGAACACUCUUUUAUUCCUGCUGACACUGAAAACACCUGACCUCAAAGCAGGAACCAUGACCAGAGAUUUUACACCUUUCUGUGUUGGUUUUACUUUUUUUUUUACAUUAAAUUUGUAUAUUUUUGUGUUUUAAAUCUUUUUCUAUGCUGAUUUUACAUCAUUUUUACAUUGAUUUUGCAUCUUUGCAUCCAGGGCCGGCCCAAGCCUUCAGUGGGCCCUAAGCCAAAUUUACCUUGGGGGGGGGGGGGGCCCACGAACGACUUCAGUGCAAAAUUUGAAUAUAUGUCAAGUAGUGAUGGGUAGAUGAGACCCCAUCAUGUGUGUCACACUUUUCCCUCAUUGUAUCAUUCAUGUAUCACACAGUGUCGGUUUGACUAAUUGGUGCCACGAGUGGAUUAAGAAAUGUCCUGCAGCCAAUGAACAAUAAAGUUUGAAACACUUUGUGAUGAAUGAGCUUGACUGAAGGUAAUGCAACUAUUUUUUUAAACUGUAUGUCUAAAAAUAAAUACAAAUAGACUUGAAAGUGUUUUUGUUUGAUAGAGAAAGUAGGCCUACAUGUGAUAAAUUGAAUGUUAUAUUAUCAUUAAAAUGUAGGCUUCAGUGCUUUGUGCCUGUUGUGACCACA
Molecule: long non-coding RNA, 9438 nt
Organism: Acanthochromis polyacanthus (spiny chromis)
Lineage: Eukaryota; Metazoa; Chordata; Actinopteri; Pomacentridae
Exons: 2
Source: RefSeq, a predicted model, not a curated record